This is a long non-coding RNA of Rhinopithecus bieti (black snub-nosed monkey), 4247 nucleotides long. NCBI's taxonomy places the organism in Eukaryota, Metazoa, Chordata, Mammalia, Primates, Cercopithecidae. The record is from Ensembl.
CUUUUCUAGUUAGAAAAAGCUAAACAUUGUGCGACUUACGCCCAAAACCCCCUUCUAAGGGGAUUCUCACCUUAACUUGUCUUCCGUGGUCAGUGUUUCCCGCCCCUGAAUCUGGGUUACUGUCACUAUGGCUUUCAAUUGGCCCGGCUUAGGCGCAUGCUCUGCGCGUAUUGGCCUCCGCUCCUGUCCCCAGACAAGCGGCCAUCUUGGGUCCCGCCCCUACCGUGGGGUCUUCUGGGAAUUGCAGUCCCCGCUCCGCUCUGUCCUGUCACAGGACUUUUUGCCCUCUGUUCCUGGGUCCCUCAGGCGGCCACCCAGUGGGCACACUCCCAGGCGGCGCUCCGGCCCCGCGCUCCCUCCCUCUGCCUUUCAUUCCCAGCUGCCAACAUCCUGGAAGCUUUGAAGCUCAGCAAAGAAGAGAAAUCCAUUGAGAACGGUCUGUAAAGGCAUGUAUUUUAGACACACUGGGUGUACCCUUAAAUAACCUUCAGGAACAAUACUCAUUUCUGCACUGUUUCGAGAGGCAGAAAACAACAGCAAAAAGAACUUGGAAGUCUAUGUUCUGUCUGCAACCAGAAGAGAAGAAUUUUGUUGGAAGCAUCUUUAUUAGAGGCAGCUGUCAGUAUGGGAUUUAUUUCCACUGGGUGGAAACAAAAGGUGCUACAGAGGAAUGUACAUAAAGAUAGCACCCAUGAGGCAUUCGGAUAAAUAAAAGUAGGCAAUAUUAAUGAUGCUCAUUAGCAGAUGUCACUGUUGGGGAUGAAGUAAAUUCCACACCAAAGUGUUUCACAUAUUACACUUUUCAAAACUGUCAACUUUUUGACUUUGAUGUAUGUCCAUGUGAAUACUUUUAAUAAGUUCCUACAGUACUUUCUUUGCAUAUACCCUGAGGAAUUCUAUGGAAUUGCUGCCAGCAAUAUCACAAAGACAUGAUUGGUGCUUCACUUGGAAAUGUGAAGGCUCAGAUCAUUACAUUCCUACUUAUUCAUGGUGCAAAUAUUUGUCUAAGAAUUAGUUUAAAAAUAUUGUAUGACCAAGCAGAUUCUGUAGUUUAAAGCAAUCUUCCAUGGGCCGUUGCCUGUAUAACUAACAGAAUUAUGUAUGCAUAAAACUGCUUUUACUGUAGAAGCCAAAAUGCAGAAUAAUAGCUUGUCAAACUGUCAUUUGCAAGUGAGAUCAUAGAUUUUAUAGUCCAAAUUAGGUUGUGUUCUUUUCCUUUUUGUCAGGUCAUAUUCUAAUAACCAUAUUGUGCACUAAACCCUGUGAUUAUCCCAACACUUGACAGAUGGUAGGCUGUUAAUUUGUAUGUAAGAGACAGUGAUUGCCAGCGCCCUAACAGUAUUCAGCAAAAUAUGAAAUGUCAAAAUCCACUUUUGGUUCCAUUUUGCUUGACUUCAUUUUAGCAAGGUAAUGCUAGGCAGAAGAGUUUCAGUAGCUCAGCAUAUGUUUCAUUUUACUACUCUGUAUGGUUUUACUAACCACUAGAAAUAGAAAGGAUUAAGAAAGAAGUAAUUUGUUUUAUGUCAUGCUUUCCCCUUUCCUGUGGAGAGUGAUCAUCAGCCUGAAGGGUUAAUUGAAGGCACUGAAUGAGAGCUGAGAGCAGACAGGAUUUAAUUGCUCAAUAUUGAGGAUAACUGUGGUACAGUAGUAGCAUACACUGAUGUUUAUAAGUAUAGUGGGGACAAAAUAAUUUAAAAGUUUAAGUUAAAAGUGCACUGGCAAAUUCACUAAAAAACUCUUGGAACUACUAAACGAAUUCAGCAAUACAGCAAGAUACAAGAUCAAUAUACAAAAAUCAAUCUUAUUUCUAUAUACUAGCAAUGAACAGUCUGGAAAAGAGAUUAAUGAAACAAUCUUAUAUAUAAUAGCAGCAAAAAAUAAAAUAUCUAAGAAUAAACUUAACAGAAUUAUAAGAUGUGAAAACUAGAAAGUAGUUGAAAGAUAUUAAAGAAUAAAUAAAUGGAAAGAUAUGCCAUGUUAUUGGAUCAGAAAACUUAACAUUUUUAAGAUUGCAAUACUGGCCAAAAUGAUCUGUGUAUUUAAUGGAAUCCCUUUAAAAAUCCCAGCUGUUUUUUAAUUUUUUCCCCAGAAAGCGAUAAGCUGAUCCUAAAUUGCAUGUGGAACUGCAAAUAUCCAGAAUAGCCAAAACAAUCUUGAAAAAGAAGAAAGAAGUUUGAAGACUUACACUUACUGGUUUCAAAACUUGCUACAAAGCUAUAGCAAUUAAGGCUGUGUGGUACUAACAAAAAAGGUAGAUCAAUAGAAUAGAAUUGAGAGUCUAGAAAUAAAUCCUCACAUUUAUGGUCAAUUGAUUUUUAACUAGAGUACCAAGACAAUUCAAUAGGAGAAACAUUAGUCUUUUCAAUAAAUGUUGUUGGGACAACUGGGGUUAUCUACAUGCAAAGAAUGACUUAGGACUUGUACCUCACACCAUACACAACAAUUAGCUCAAUAUGGAUCAUAGACCUAAAUUUAAAAGGUAACAGUAUAAAACUCCUAGGCAAAACCAUAUGAGUUAAUCUUUGUGAUCUUGGGUUAGGUUUCUUAGAUAUAAUACCAAAAGCACAGGUGACAAAAUUUAAAAAAUAAAUAAUUCAGACUUUGUCAAAACUUAAAACUUUUGUGUGUCAAAUGACAACAUCACAAAAGUAAAAGGAUGUACCUAAAGAUGGGAGAAAAUUUUAUAUCUGAUGAUGGACUAGUAUCUAGACUAUAUUAAGAACUUCUGCAACUCAACCGUAAAACGACAAAUAACACAAUUUAAAAAUGUGCAAAGUAUCUGAAUAGGCAUUUUCCCAAAGAAGAUACACAAAUGGUUAAUAGCACAUGAAAAGAUGCUUAGUAUCACUCUUUACUAGGCAAGUCAAAUUAGAUCAAACCAAAACCACAACGAGAUGCCACUUCAUUCACAGUAGAAUGGCUAAAAUAGAAAAGACAAUAACAAGCACUGGUGAGGAUAAGAGAAAUUAAAACCCUCAUAUGUUUUGGUGGGAUUGUAGGAUGGUGCAGCCACUUGGGGAAAAUGUUUGACAGUUCUGCAAAAUGUUAAACAUAGAAUUACCAUAUAACCCCGCAAUUCUAUACCUUCCGAGGUAUGUACCCAAGAGAAUUAAAAACAUCCACACAGAAACUUGUACAUGAGUGUUCGUAGUAGCAUUAUUCAUAAUUGCCAAAAAGUGGAAACAGUUCAAAUAUCUAUCUACAAUGAAUGGAUAAACAAAAAUGACAUAUUCCUAUAAUGGAAUGUUAUUUGGCCAUAAUUAGUAAUGAAGUGCUGAAACAUGCUACAAUGUGAAUGAACCUUGAAAAUAUUAUGUUAAGUGAAAGGAACUAGUCGCAAAAGGACACAUACUGUAUGAUUCCAUUUAUGUGACACUUCCAGCACAGGCAAAUCCAUAUGCAUAAUAGAUUAGUGGAUUAAUAGGGCUGCAGGGGUAGGGGGAAAUGGAAGUGACUGCUAAUGCACAUGGGCUUUCUUUUUGGGAUGCUGAAAUGUUAUAAAAUUGAUUGUGUUCUUGGUUGCACAAUUCUGAAUAUACUAAAAAUGAAUGAAUUGUACAGUUUAAAUGGGCAAAUUUUAUGGUUUGUGAAAUGUAUCUAAAUAAAGCUAUUAAAAAAGCACAUUGGCAGUAGAAUAGUAAAGGUAAUUCAUUUAUUACAUUAGCAUGACAAUAAUUGCCUGGAUUGUCAAUGUUACACUACUUAGAGACGAAAGAAUGCAAUUUUUCACUUCAAAACUCCAAAACCAGAUCUGCAGAUUUGUUUGUUUGUUUGUUUUAGACAGAGUCUUGCUCUGUUGCCCAGUUUGGAGUGUAGUGGCACGAUCUCAGCACACUGCAACCUCUGCUUCCUGGGUUCAAGCAAUUCCUCUGUCUCAGCCUCCCAAGUAGCUGGGACUACAGGCGCCUGCCACCAUACCCGGCUAAUUUUUGUAUUUUUAGUGGAGACGGGGUUUCACCUUAUUGGUCAGGCUGGUCUUGAACUCCUGACCUCAGGUGAUCCACCCGCCUUGGCCUCUCAAAGUGUUGGGAUUACAGGCGUGAGCCACUGCGCCCGGCUAGAAAAUUUUUUUUUAGGUAAUAAUUUUCUCGACACAUCUGAAUGCUAAAUAACGACAAGACCAAGACUGGUCAAAGGCUGGUCAAAAUCUGCAGCACCAUAACUGUUUAAAAAUGCCAAAUGACCAGUGGUUUUCCAAUAGUGUAAGCAACUAUCUCUCAAAAACAAUCACGUAACACAUAACACAU